This 451-nucleotide ribosomal RNA is filed under the name uncultured cyanobacterium. RNAcentral's name for it is "bacterial SSU rRNA". It matches the Rfam family "Bacterial small subunit ribosomal RNA", at positions 28 to 524 of the family's 1533-position model. The record is from RNAcentral. Lineage: Bacteria; Bacillati; Cyanobacteriota.
GAUGAACGCUGGCGGUAUGCUUAACACAUGCAAGUCGAACGGUACCUUCGGGUAUAGUGGCGGACGGGUGAGUAACGCGUGAGAAUCUGUCUUCAGGUCGGGGACAACAGUUAGAAAUGGCUGCUAAUACCGGAUGUGCUGUAAGGUGAAAGAUUUAUUGCCUGAAAAGAGCUCGCGUCAGAUUAGCUAGUAGGUGGUGUAAGAGACUACCUAGGCGACGAUCUGUAGCUGGUCUGAGAGGACGAUCAGCCACACUGGAACUGAGACACGGUCCAGACUCCUACGGGAGGCAGCAGUGGGGGAAUUUUCCGCAAUGGGCGAAAGCCCGACGGAGCAAUACCGCGUGAGGGACGAAGGCUUUUGGGUCGUAAACCUCUUUUAUUAGGGAAGAUUUCAGGACGGUACCUAAUGAAUAAGCAUUGGCUAACUCUGUGCCAGCAGCCGCGGUAAU